This 802-nucleotide ribosomal RNA is filed under the name uncultured bacterium. RNAcentral describes it as "bacterial SSU rRNA". It matches the Rfam family "Bacterial small subunit ribosomal RNA", at positions 8 to 796 of the family's 1533-position model. The record is from RNAcentral.
AGAGUUUGAUCCUGGCUCAGAACGAACGCUGGCGGCGUGGAUAAGACAUGCAAGUCGAACGGGCUUAAUUUCGAAGCAAUUCGAAGCUGAGCCAGUGGCGAACGGGUGCGUAACACGUGAGUCAUCUGCCUGAAAGUGGGGGAUAGCUCGUCGAAAGGCGAAUUAAUACCGCAUGUGUCCCGGAGCAAUCCGGGGUAAAGCCGGGGCAACCUGGCGCUUUUAGAGGAACUCGCGGCCUAUCAGCUUGUUGGUGAGGUAACGGCUUACCAAGGCUACGACGGGUAGCUGGUCUGAGAGGACGACCAGCCACACUGGAACUGAGACACGGUCCAGACACCUACGGGUGGCAGCAGUCGAGAAUUUUUCUCAAUGGGGGAAACCCUGAAGGAGCGACGCCGCGUGGAGGAUGAAGGCUUUCGGGUUGUAAACUCCUGUCAUUUGGGAACAAGGCCUUACGUUAACUGCGUGGAGGUUUGAUAGUACUGAAAGAGGAAGAGACGGCUAACUCUGUGCCAGCAGCCGCGGUAAUACAGAGGUCUCAAGCGUUGUUCGGAUUUAUUGGGCGUAAAGGGCGCGUAGGCGGCGGGGUAAGUCGGGUGUGAAAUCUCAGGGCUCAACCCUGAAAAAUGCACUUGAUACUGCUCUGCUUGAGGACUGGAGAGGAGACUGGAAUUCACGGUGUAGCAGUGAAAUGCGUAGAGAUCGUGAGGAAGACCAGUGGCGAAGGCGGGUCUCUGGACAGUUCCUGACGCUGAGGCGCGAAGGCCAGGGGAGCAAACGGGAUUAGAUACCCCAGUAGUCC